AACGAACGCUGGCGGCAGGCUUAACACAUGCAAGUCGAACGCACCGCAAGGUGAGUGGCAGACGGGUGAGUAACGCGUGGGAACGUGCCCUUUUGUUCGGAAUAACCCAGGGAAACUUGGGCUAAUACCGGAUACGCCCUUCGGGGGAAAGGUUUACCGCAGGAGGAGCGGCCCGCGUCCGAUUAGCUAGUUGGUGUGGUAAUGGCGCACCAAGGCGACGAUCGGUAGCUGGUCUGAGAGGAUGGCCAGCCACAUUGGGACUGAGACACGGCCCAAACUCCUACGGGAGGCAGCAGUGGGGAAUAUUGGACAAUGGGCGCAAGCCUGAUCCAGCCAUGCCGCGUGAGUGAUGACGGCCUUAGGGUUGUAAAGCUCUUUCGCGCACGACGAUAAUGACGGUAGUGCGAGAAGAAGCCCCGGCUAACUUCGUGCCAGCCGCCGCCGUAAUAC
This 450-nucleotide ribosomal RNA is filed under the name uncultured bacterium. RNAcentral describes it as "bacterial SSU rRNA". It matches the Rfam family "Bacterial small subunit ribosomal RNA", at positions 29 to 526 of the family's 1533-position model. The record is from RNAcentral.